This 741-nucleotide ribosomal RNA is filed under the name activated sludge bacterium GC_R2A_S_50. RNAcentral's name for it is "bacterial SSU rRNA". It matches the Rfam family "Bacterial small subunit ribosomal RNA", at positions 118 to 855 of the family's 1533-position model. The record is from RNAcentral.
UAGGAAUCUGCCUGGUAGUGGGGGNNAACGUUUCGAAAGGAACGCUAAUACCGCAUACGUCCUACGGGAGAAAGCAGGGGACCUUCGGGCCUUGCGCUAUCAGAUGAGCCUAGGUCGGAUUAGCUAGUUGGUGGGGUAAAGGCCUACCAAGGCGACGAUCCGUAACUGGUCUGAGAGGAUGAUCAGUCACACUGGAACUGAGACACGGUCCAGACUCCUACGGGAGGCAGCAGUGGGGAAUAUUGGACAAUGGGCGAAAGCCUGAUCCAGCCAUGCCGCGUGUGUGAAGAAGGUCUUCGGAUUGUAAAGCACUUUAAGUUGGGAGGAAGGGCAGUAAGUUAAUACCUUGCUGUUUUGACGUUACCAACAGAAUAAGCACCGGCUAACUUCGUGCCAGCAGCCGCGGUAAUACGAAGGGUGCAAGCGUUAAUCGGAAUUACUGGGCGUAAAGCGCGCGUAGGUGGUUUGGUAAGAUGGAUGUGAAAUCCCCGGGCUCAACCUGGGAACUGCAUCCAUAACUGCCUGACUAGAGUACGGUAGAGGGUGGUGGAAUUUCCUGUGUAGCGGUGAAAUGCGUAGAUAUAGGAAGGAACACCAGUGGCGAAGGCGACCACCUGGACUGAUACUGACACUGANGUGCGAAAGCGUGGGGAGCAAACAGGAUUAGAUACCCUGGUAGUCCACGCCGUAAACGAUGUCGACUAGCCGUUGGAAUCCUUGAGAUUUUAGUGGCGCAGCUAA